GUCUUUUUGUUAAAAAUUUAAAGUCUAACCUGCCCAAUGAUUAUUUUAAUGGCUGCGGUAUUUUGACCGUACAAAGGUAGCAUAAUCAUUAGUUUUUUAAUUGAAAACUUGUAUGAAUGGUUGAACGAAAAAAUUACUGUCUCAAUUUAAUUUUAUUAGAAUUUUAUAUUUAAGUUAAAAAGCUUAAAUAGAAUUAAAAGACGAGAAGACCCUAUAGAGUUUAAUAUUUAUUAAUUAUAAUAUAUAAGAAUUAAUGAAUAUUUAAUAAGUAUUUAAUUGGGGUGAUUAAUAAAUUUAUUUAACUUUAUUUUUUUUUAUAACAUUAAUUUAUGAUAAAUUGAUCCAUUAAUUAUGAUUAAAAGAUAAAAUUACCUUAGGGAUAACAGCGUAAUUUUUUUAAAGAGUUCUUAUCGAUAAAAAAGAUUGCGACCUCGAUGUUGGAUUAAAAUUAAUUUUUGGUGUAGAAGCUAAAUAUAUUAAGUCUGUUCGACUUUUAAUUUUUUACAUGAUCUGAGUUUAAAUCGGCGUGAGCCAGAUUGGUUUCUAUCUUUAAUAAUUUAAAAUAUUUUAGUACGAAAGGACCAAAUAUUAAUAAAAUUUAUUUAUUUUUUGAUUUU
Molecule: ribosomal RNA, 617 nt
Filed under: Ochthebius sanabrensis
Lineage: Eukaryota; Metazoa; Arthropoda; Insecta; Coleoptera; Hydraenidae
Description: partial 16S ribosomal RNA
Rfam family: Bacterial large subunit ribosomal RNA
Source: RNAcentral